RNAcentral lists this transfer RNA (77 nucleotides) under Porticoccaceae bacterium. Its description in RNAcentral is "tRNA-Trp". It matches the Rfam family "tRNA". From Rfam's summary of the family: Transfer RNA (tRNA) molecules are approximately 80 nucleotides in length. Their secondary structure includes four short double-helical elements and three loops (D, anti-codon, and T loops). The record is from RNAcentral. Lineage: Bacteria; Pseudomonadati; Pseudomonadota; Gammaproteobacteria; Cellvibrionales; Porticoccaceae.
AGGUCAUUAGUGUUUAACGGCGAGCACGUUGGACUCCAAAUCCAAAAGUAGGGGUUCGAAUCCUCUAUGGCCUGCCA